UUGGGGCUGGUCCUUGUCUAUGUUCCUUGGAACAGGACGUCAUAGAGGGUGAGAAUCCCGUGUGGCGAGGAUCCCAGUUCUUUGUAAAACGCUUUCGAAGAGUCGAGUUGUUUGGGAAUGCAGCUCUAAGUGGGUGGUAAAUUCCAUCUAAAGCUAAAUAUUGGCGAGAGACCGAUAGCGAACAAGUACAGUGAUGGAAAGAUGAAAAGAACUUUGAAAAGAGAGUGAAAAAGUACGUGAAAUUGUUGAAAGGGAAGGGCAUUUGAUCAGACAUGGUGUUUGGACGCCCUGCGCUCCUUGUGGGUGCAGGACACGCUUUUCACUGGGCCAACAUCGGUUUUGGCAGCAGGAUAAAUCGUUAGGAACGUAGCUGCCCUCGGGUAGUGUUACAGCCUGGCGGAAUACUGCUAGCCGGGACUGAGGACUGCGUCUUUUGACAAGGAUGUUGGCAUAAUGGUUAAAUGCCGCC
Molecule: ribosomal RNA, 469 nt
Filed under: Hanseniaspora vineae
Lineage: Eukaryota; Fungi; Ascomycota; Saccharomycetes; Saccharomycodales; Saccharomycodaceae
Description: partial 26S ribosomal RNA
Rfam family: Eukaryotic large subunit ribosomal RNA
Source: RNAcentral